GGCCCCUGGUAGUGGGCAGAGGCACCUUGAUGCUGGCAUUGUUCUUAUACCAGUCAGGGGCAGAGCAGAUGGCAGCCCUCUGUUCACCCUAGCUUGAUGCCUGGCUUGGUGGCCAAAGAUGUUUUAUGCCUAGGACUCAGAA
Mastomys coucha (southern multimammate mouse) is the source of this 142-nucleotide small nucleolar RNA. RefSeq annotates it as small nucleolar RNA SNORA48. The transcript has a single exon. The record is from RefSeq and is a predicted model, not a curated record. NCBI's taxonomy places the organism in Eukaryota, Metazoa, Chordata, Mammalia, Rodentia, Muridae.